CCUACGGGCGGCUGCAGUGGGGAAUAUUGCACAAUGGGCGGAAGCCUGAUGCAGCAAUGCCGCGUGAGCGAUGAAGCACUUCGGUGCGUAAAGCCCUGUCCUCAGGGAAGAAAAUGACAGUACCUGCGCAAGAAGCCCCGGCUAACUACGUGCCAGCAGCCGCGGUAAUACGUAGGGGGCAAGCGUUAUCCGGAUUUACUGGGCGUAAAGGGUGCGCAGGCGGCGUGGUAAGUCAGAAGUGAAAAGCCUAGGCCCAACCCGUGGAGUGCAUUUGAAACUGUCAAGCUGGAGUGACGGAGAGGAGAGCGGAAUUCCUAGUGUAGCGGUGAAAUGCGUAGAUAUUAGGAGGAACACCAGUGGCGGAGGCGGCUUACUGGACGGUAACUGACGCUGAGGCUCGAAAGCGUGGGGAGCAAACAGGAUUAGAUACCCGAGUAGUC
RNAcentral lists this ribosomal RNA (440 nucleotides) under uncultured bacterium. Its description in RNAcentral is "partial 16S ribosomal RNA". It matches the Rfam family "Bacterial small subunit ribosomal RNA", at positions 338 to 795 of the family's 1533-position model. The record is from RNAcentral.